CAGGAGAAGAAAAUCAUUGCAGACAUCAAGAAGAUGGCCAAGCAGGGCCAGAUGGAUGCUGUGCACAUCAUGGCAAAAGACCUAGUGCGCACUAGGCGCUAUGUACGCAACUUUGUUUUGAUGUGGGCCAAUAUCCAGGCUGUGUAGCUCAAGAUUCAGACGCUCAAGUUCAGCAACUCAAUGACUCAAGCCAUGAAGGGUGUCACUAAGGCCAUGGGCACAAUGAACAGACAGCUAAAAUUGCUCCAGAUCCAGAAGAUCAUGAUGGAAUUUGAGCAGCAGGCAGAGAUCAUGGACAUGAAGGAGGAAAUGAUGAAUGAUGCCACUGAUGAUGCCAUGGGUGAUGAGGAAGAUGAAGAGGAGAGUGAUGCUGUUGUAUCCCAGGUCUUGGAUGAGCUGGGACUGAGCCUGACAGAUGAGCUGUCCAACCUCCCCUCUACUGGAGGCUCACUCAGUGUAGCUGCUGGUGAGACAAAACCAGAAGCUGCAGCCUCAGCCCUGGCUGAUGCUGAUGCAGACCCGGAGGAGCGACUCAAGAACCUACGGAGAGUGCCACUUGGGAGUGCAGGGACCAGUGGAUGUCUGGAACCUUUACCAUAA
RNA transcript from Carlito syrichta (Philippine tarsier), 600 nucleotides. It is a transcript of the gene named charged multivesicular body protein 2a pseudogene, with no coding region annotated. The record is from RefSeq and is a predicted model, not a curated record. Lineage: Eukaryota; Metazoa; Chordata; Mammalia; Primates; Tarsiidae. The transcript has a single exon.